UCUUGGUCAUUUAGAGGAAGUAAAAGUCGUAACAAGGUUUCCGUAGGUGAACCUGCGGAAGGAUCAUUACAUAUGUCCGGGAUGUCCAAGGGGGCUCCCAAGCAAACAACAUCCACGUGUACACUCCCACGGAGGGAUCCCAGACCGAGUGCCCUAGGCUCUACACCCCAUUGUCAACACACUUAUGGUUGAGUUGUCGGGGUAAGGGUGCGAUAUCUACGGGCUCCGGGCGUCAGCCGGGGACAAGCCCAUUCUGAGCAAAUUGUGAAAUUAGAGGGGCGAAAUCAACAAAACAUAUUGAAUCUAAACUUUCAACAAAGGAUGUAGCGAAAUUGGCUAAGUAAAGAACGCACAGAAAUCAGAGAAUCAAUGAAUCUUUGAGAAUUCAGUGAAUCAUUGAAUUAUUCAAUAGGCCAUGCCUCCUCGAGCAUUCCGGCGGCCACGUCUGUCCGAAUGUCAUUUCGGUCGUCAGGGGUACCGUUAAGGGCGGACCGUGUGCUGGGGAUCAGCGGCCUCCGCCAGAAAUCCCCCAAAUUGUAGGGCGGUCGCAGAGCAGCCUAAUAUUGUGAAGUAGUACUACUCGCACCGGAGUGCGAGUCGCCCGACCCCCGAAACCUCCAAUAAGAGAGGUGACCUCGCUCAGCUUGGAGCCCAUUUCCC
RNAcentral lists this ribosomal RNA (660 nucleotides) under uncultured Tuber. RNAcentral describes it as "eukaryotic LSU rRNA". The stretch from base 1 to 69 matches the Rfam family "Eukaryotic small subunit ribosomal RNA", at positions 1763 to 1831 of the family's 1831-position model. Lineage: Eukaryota; Fungi; Ascomycota; Pezizomycetes; Pezizales; Tuberaceae. The record is from RNAcentral.